Molecule: long non-coding RNA, 1610 nt
Organism: Vombatus ursinus (common wombat)
Lineage: Eukaryota; Metazoa; Chordata; Mammalia; Diprotodontia; Vombatidae
Exons: 3
Source: RefSeq, a predicted model, not a curated record
AAGUGCAUUCCUCAAAUCAAUAGUGCAAAUAAGGACCGUUGAAGUAUCCAGGCAACAAUCAAAUAAGUGGAACAGAUAUGCAAAUGAUGAUGGAACAGCGAACACCUACAACUUGCAUGUGAAAGGCAGGCUGAGGUGAUGGUCUCCAUGGCCCAUGUAAUUAAGCAGAAGUUUGGUCCUAAAUCUUUGCCAGCAACCUCUGCUACUACAGGCAAUGGGCAUUUAUUAGUCAUCUGCUAUGAGGGACAGGACAUACAAAUGCAACAGCGAGUCUAUCCUUGGAGGAUGUGACAUGCUCACCACUCAUUUUUCACUUUGGACGUCACGUUGUGAGAAAAACCUGAGCACAUUUCUAGGAAGCCAGGAAGAUGUGUAUUGAUGAAGAGAGGUUGAAGAUAAGAGAAAAAAAAAGGGCAAAGUGCUAGGAGAGAUGGGCAAUAACGUGAUCCAGGACACAAAGAAGAAAGCUGAUCUUGGCAAGCCAAAGGGUCACUUCCUUUUCAGAGACUAGGCUGAAGGAGGAAAGAGUGGGUAAAAAUCCACAGUGUUAUAAGAUAUGGAGGGGAGAAGAGGAAGCUCAUGACAGAUCACCUCAACCCUCUUGCCUCAUGUCCUCUGCGGGGGUUACUUGUCCAACUCAAACGUACAUCAGUGGACCAAAGCCCUACAGAAGAGCUGACACCUUCAGGUCUUUUAGGGAUUAAUGGGAGGGUCACUGGGGUUUCUACUAUAAUUGCUCAUGAACCACCAGCAGCGUGCUUCCCACCAAUGAGGAGAUAUAUUUAAUUAGCUUGUUGACUGAGUAUUUGCUGCACAGUUGUAGCAGAGAGAGUUGGCACAAAAACGGUUCCCCUGCUGAUCUGGGGCAUGCACCUCCACGAGUACAUACAGGUGCCCAAGAAGAUUGGGCUCACACUCAGAGUACAGUGGCGGUGAGUCACAUGUGCGACAAAGGAUGAUCUCACAGCUCCAGGUGCUGAAGAUCCAUUCUCACCUCAUGGUGUGGCUGUCCAACGGGCUCUGAAGGUUCUGAGGUUCCUGUCUUCAGUGGGCUUAGAGGGUCUCUCAGGCCCUUUUCCAGAGCCCACCAUCAGCAGCUACGUCCCGAUGGAUGCUGAUGGGAAGUCCAGAUCUGGUGACCUUUCAGAGCUCAGAGAUCAUCCUCUGGCUGACGGGGGGAAGGGAGGAGAGAGAUCUCAGUGCUCCCCAAAGGGCAACUCCCUGGCCGGCCACCAAACCAGCUUGACCUCUGGAUCCUGAUUCCGAACUGGCAGGCUCUGAAGCUGCGUCUGAGUCUUUCAGCCAAUCCCAACGCAUUUCCUACCUGAAUUCAUUUGACUUCAUUACUUCACUCCCCCAAACUGACUAAUGAGCUGAUUUCUUGGCAUUGACCUUCUCUCAGAAGAGACCUUGGUAAGCGAUGAGAGGUUGAUGUCAAUCCGGUUCCAAACUUGAAGCCCGGGGCGAUCCUGAAUUGGGCUGGGCCCAUGACAAGUAUCGGUGAAUGUUCCCACCACACUUGACUGCACCUGGGUGGAUAGAAUUCUGGACUUGGAGUCUGAACCCUGCUCAGACACUCCAUAACUGUGUGACCCUGGGCCACUUUUGCC